This 460-nucleotide ribosomal RNA is filed under the name uncultured bacterium. RNAcentral describes it as "partial 16S ribosomal RNA". It matches the Rfam family "Bacterial small subunit ribosomal RNA", at positions 338 to 795 of the family's 1533-position model. The record is from RNAcentral.
CCUACGGGUGGCAGCAGUGAGGAAUAUUGGUCAAUGGCCGAGAGCCUGAACCAGCCAAGUCGCGUGAAGGAUGACUGCCCUACGGGUUGUAAACUUCUUUUAUCAAGGAAUAAAGUGAGGCACGCGUGCCUUUUUGUGUGUACUUUAUGAAUAAGGAUCGGCUAACUCCGUGCCAGCAGCCGCGGUAAUACGGAGGAUCCGAGCGUUAUCCGGAUUUAUUGGGUUUAAAGGGAGCGUAGAUGGGUUGUUAAGUCAGUGGUGAAAGUUUGCGGCUCAACCGUAAAAUUGCAAUUGAUACUGGCAGUCUUGAGUACAGGUGAGGUAGGCGGAAUUCGUGGUGUAGCGGUGAAAUGCUUAGAUAUCACGAAGAACUCCGAUUGCGAAGGCAGCGUACUAAACUGCCACUGACAUUGAUGCUCGAAAGUGUGGGUAUCAAACAGGAUUAGAUACCCGAGUAGUC